GUUAUAGGAUCAAGCGACUAAGUGCAUAUGGUGGAUGCCUUGGCGAUCACAGGCGAUGAAGGACGUAGUAGCCUGCGAAAAGCUGCGGGGAGCUGGCAAACAAGCAUUGAUCCGCAGAUAUCCGAAUGGGGAAACCCACCGCGCAAGCGGUAUCCCUGGCUGAAUACAUAGGCCAGUGGAGGCGAACCGGGUGAACUGAAACAUCUCAGUAGCUCGAGGAAAAGAAAUCAACCGAGAUUCCGAAAGUAGUGGCGAGCGAAAUCGGAAGAGCCUUUACGAUUUAGCAUUUUGCAUAGUCGAACGGAAUGGAAAGUCCGGCCGUAGCAGGUGAUAGCCCUGUAGACGAAAUGCAGAGUGUGGAACUAGGCGUAAGAGAAGUAGGGCGGGACACGUGAAAUCCUGUCUGAAGAUGGGGGGACCAUCCUCCAAGGCUAAAUACUCGUGAUCGACCGAUAGUGAACCAGUACCGUGAGGGAAAGGCGAAAAGAACCCCGGAAGGGGAGUGAAAUAGAUCCUGAAACCGUAUGCAUACAAACAGUCGGAGCCUCUUUAUGGGGUGACGGCGUACCUUUUGUAUAAUGGGUCAGCGACUUACAUUCAGUGGCGAGCUUAACCGAAUAGGGAAGGCGUAGCGAAAGCGAGUCCGAAUAGGGCGUCCAGUCGCUGGGUGUAGACCCGAAACCAGAUGAUCUACCCAUGGCCAGGUUGAAGGCACGGUAACACGUGCUGGAGGACCGAACCCACUAGUGUUGAAAAACUAGGGGAUGAGCUGUGGAUAGGGGUGAAAGGCUAAACAAAUCUGGAAAUAGCUGGUUCUCUCCGAAAACUAUUUAGGUAGUGCCUCAAGUAUUACUGCAGGGGGUAGAGCACUGUUAUGGCUAGGGGGUCAUGGCGACUUACCAAACCAUGGCAAACUCCGAAUACCUGCAAGUACAGCUUGGGAGACAGAGCACCGGGUGCUAACGUCCGGACUCAAGAGGGAAACAACCCAGACCGCCAGCUAAGGUCCCGAAUUAUCGCUAAGUGGGAAACGAAGUGGGAAGGCAUAGACAGUCAGGAGGUUGGCUUAGAAGCAGCCACCCUUUAAAGAAAGCGUAAUAGCUCACUGAUCGAGUCGUCCUGCGCGGAAGAUGUAACGGGGCUAAGCGAUAAACCGAAGCUGCGGGUGUGCACUUUUAGUGCGCGCGGUAGGAGAGCGUUCUGUAAGCCUGCGAAGGUGGCUUGUAAAGGCUGCUGGAGGUAUCAGAAGUGCGAAUGCUGACAUGAGUAGCGAUAAAGGGGGUGAAAAGCCCCCUCGCCGUAAGUCCAAGGUUUCCUGCGCAACGUUCAUCGGCGCAGGGUGAGUCGGCCCCUAAGGCGAGGCAGAGAUGCGUAGCUGAUGGGAAGCUGGUUAAUAUUCCAGCACCGUCGUACAGUGCGAUGGGGGACGGAUCGCGGAAGGUCAUCAGGGUGUUGGACGUCCCUGUUGCUGCAUUGAAGAUGGCGCUUAGGCAAAUCCGGGCGCGAGAAUCAAGGGUGUGGCACGAGCGAGCAAGUCUCGCGAAGUGAUUGGAAGUGGUUCCAAGAAAAGCCUCUAAGCUUCAGCUGUACGAGACCGUACCGCAAACCGACACAGGUGGACGGGAUGAAUAUUCCAAGGCGCUUGAGAGAACUCAGGAGAAGGAACUCGGCAAAUUGAUACCGUAACUUCGGGAGAAGGUAUACCCUGGUAGUGUGAAGCGCCUGCGCGCUGAGCAUGAAGGGGUCGCAGAGAAUCGGUGGCUGCGACUGUUUAUUAAAAACACAGCACUCUGCAAAGACGAAAGUCGACGUAUAGGGUGUGACGCCUGCCCGGUGCCGGAAGGUUAAGUGAUGGGGUGCAAGCUCUUGAUCGAAGCCCC
RNAcentral lists this ribosomal RNA (1880 nucleotides) under Bordetella pertussis. Its description in RNAcentral is "bacterial LSU rRNA". It matches the Rfam family "Bacterial large subunit ribosomal RNA", at positions 1 to 1921 of the family's 2925-position model. Lineage: Bacteria; Pseudomonadati; Pseudomonadota; Betaproteobacteria; Burkholderiales; Alcaligenaceae. The record is from RNAcentral.